Molecule: long non-coding RNA, 849 nt
Filed under: Callithrix jacchus (white-tufted-ear marmoset)
Lineage: Eukaryota; Metazoa; Chordata; Mammalia; Primates; Cebidae
Description: lncRNA (ENSCJAG00000082560.1)
Source: RNAcentral
CCUCGUGAUCCGCCCGCCUCGGCCUCCCAAAGUGCUGGAAAUACAGGCGUGGGCCGCCGCGCCGGGCCUUCUCGUCUCAUACUUCUGCUGCUGAAUCCUGCUUCCAAAAGUCCUGAGCGUGCAGCAACAAGGCAUUAUCUUAAAAAGACCGAAGAGGCCUUACCAGAAAGCCACACCUGCAGCACAACCACAGGGCCAAGGAGUAUGAUCAGAAAAUAUUCCAGUCGCUGUGCUUUGGGAUGAUCAGAACUAGCCCACCAUUACAGCCAUCUAGGUUCGAAUCUUGAAAGACCCGGCAAGGAUUUCAACUCCUUCCCUUAAAGUGAGGCUCUUUUGGGAUCUUACUUGCCUUCCAGGGUGAUCAGCGGGGACCAAUCUAUUUACAAUAGAAAUUAAGUAAUGAAUUAGAAAUUUAAAGGGAAAAGGUGGAAAUCCUCAGCCUCUUUUUCCUGCGGUCUUCUUAGCAUCUGUAAGAAUUUCUCACUACUUUUCUAGUAUUCUUACAAAACGUUCCAAACCAAUGGAUGUGGGAAAUAGGUAUCAAGACUACAUGUGUGUACAUACUUUGAGACCCAGAUGUUGGCCUUGCUAAAAAUAAAAUCCAGUAACAUUAAAAUUUGUCCUAUUACCUGAUUCUUCCAGGUUAACACAACUUUUUUUUUUUUUUUUUUUUUUAACAUUUUCAUUUUAGGACAAUUUUUUACCGAGGUUUGAAAUCUUGACUGGUUUCAGCAUAUUAUUAAAUUUAAGUGUGUAAUUAUGUCCUUUUAUCCUAGCCAUGGGCAGAUUCACUAGGUUGGGCAAAUGAGAAAACAUAGUUUAAUUAAAAUAUGUCAAAAAAUAAGCAGG